UUGGAGAGGUUGAUCCUGGCUCAGGACGAACGCUGGCGGCGUGCCUAAUACAUGCAAGUCGAGCGGACAGAUGGGAGCUUGCUCCCUGAUGUUAGCGGCGGACGGGUGAGUAACACGUGGGUAACCUGCCUGUAAGACUGGGAUAACUCCGGGAAACCGGGGCUAAUACCGGAUGGUUGUUUGAACCGCAUGGUUCAAACAUAAAAGGUGGCUUCGGCUACCACUUACAGAUGGACCCGCGGCGCAUUAGCUAGUUGGUGAGGUAACGGCUCACCAAGGCGACGAUGCGUAGCCGACCUGAGAGGGUGAUCGGCCACACUGGGACUGAGACACGGCCCAGACUCCUACGGGAGGCAGCAGUAGGGAAUCUUCCGCAAUGGACGAAAGUCUGACGGAGCAACGCCGCGUGAGUGAUGAAGGUUUUCGGAUCGUAAAGCUCUGUUGUUAGGGAAGAACAAGUACCGUUCGAAUAGGGCGGUACCUUGACAGGUACCUAACCAGAAAGACCCGCCUCGGGCGCUU
RNAcentral lists this ribosomal RNA (522 nucleotides) under Bacillus amyloliquefaciens. Its description in RNAcentral is "bacterial SSU rRNA". It matches the Rfam family "Bacterial small subunit ribosomal RNA", at positions 1 to 507 of the family's 1533-position model. Lineage: Bacteria; Bacillati; Bacillota; Bacilli; Caryophanales; Bacillaceae. The record is from RNAcentral.